This 977-nucleotide ribosomal RNA is filed under the name Staphylococcus haemolyticus. RNAcentral describes it as "bacterial SSU rRNA". It matches the Rfam family "Bacterial small subunit ribosomal RNA", at positions 40 to 988 of the family's 1533-position model. The record is from RNAcentral. Lineage: Bacteria; Bacillati; Bacillota; Bacilli; Caryophanales; Staphylococcaceae.
CGGGAAGGACAGUCCUAUACCUGCAAUGCUCGAGCGAACAGCACAAGGGAGCUUGCUCCUUUGACGUUAGCGGCGGACGGGUGAGUAACACGUGGGUAACCUACCUAUAAGACUGGGAUAACUUCGGGAAACCGGAGCUAAUACCGGAUAAUAUUUCGAACCGCAUGGUUCGAUAGUGAAAGAUGGUUUUGCUAUCACUUAUAGAUGGACCCGCGCCGUAUUAGCUAGUUGGUAAGGUAACGGCUUACCAAGGCGACGAUACGUAGCCGACCUGAGAGGGUGAUCGGCCACACUGGAACUGAGACACGGUCCAGACUCCUACGGGAGGCAGCAGUAGGGAAUCUUCCGCAAUGGGCGAAAGCCUGACGGAGCAACGCCGCGUGAGUGAUGAAGGUCUUCGGAUCGUAAAACUCUGUUAUUAGGGAAGAACAUACGUGUAAGUAACUAUGCACGUCUUGACGGUACCUAAUCAGAAAGCCACGGCUAACUACGUGCCAGCAGCCGCGGUAAUACGUAGGUGGCAAGCGUUAUCCGGAAUUAUUGGGCGUAAAGCGCGCGUAGGCGGUUUUUUAAGUCUGAUGUGAAAGCCCACGGCUCAACCGUGGAGGGUCAUUGGAAACUGGAAAACUUGAGUGCAGAAGAGGAAAGUGGAAUUCCAUGUGUAGCGGUGAAAUGCGCAGAGAUAUGGAGGAACACCAGUGGCGAAGGCGACUUUCUGGUCUGUAACUGACGCUGAUGUGCGAAAGCGUGGGGAUCAAACAGGAUUAGAUACCCUGGUAGUCCACGCCGUAAACGAUGAGUGCUAAGUGUUAGGGGGUUUCCGCCCCUUAGUGCUGCAGCUAACGCAUUAAGCACUCCGCCUGGGGAGUACGACCGCAAGGUUGAAACUCAAAGGAAUUGACGGGGACCCGCACAAGCGGUGGAGCUUGUGGUUUAAUUCGAAGCAAACGCGAAAAACCUUUCCAAAUCUUGAAAUC